CGGGAGUAACGCGUGAGGAACCUGCCUCAAAGAGGGGGGAAACAGUUGGAAACGACUGCUAAUACCGCAUAAGCCCACGGCUCGGCAUCGAGCAGAGGGAAAAGGAGUGAUCCGCUUUGAGAUGGCCUCGCGUCCGAUUAGCUAGUUGGUGAGGUAACGGCCCACCAAGGCGACGAUCGGUAGCCGGACUGAGAGGUUGAACGGCCACAUUGGGACUGAGACACGGCCCAG
Molecule: ribosomal RNA, 231 nt
Filed under: uncultured bacterium
Lineage: Bacteria
Description: partial 16S ribosomal RNA
Rfam family: Bacterial small subunit ribosomal RNA
Source: RNAcentral